Molecule: long non-coding RNA, 98 nt
Organism: Xenia sp. Carnegie-2017
Lineage: Eukaryota; Metazoa; Cnidaria; Anthozoa; Malacalcyonacea; Xeniidae
Exons: 3
Source: RefSeq, a predicted model, not a curated record
AUUUUUCAUGUUAAUGAGACAAUUGCUUAAAUUGUCCUGCAAAGUUCGAAGAUCAUAUUUUCAUUUAAUUUCAAACACCGCGCUGCAUAUAACAAUCU